CAGCAGCCGCGGUAAACCGUAGCAUCCGAGCGUUAUCCGAACUCACUGGGCGUAAAGCGCGUGUAGGCGGUUCGGUAAGUUGGAUGUGAAAGCUCCCGGCUCAACUGGGAGAGGACGUUCAAAACUGUUGGACUAGAGGGCGGAAGAGGAAAGUGGAAUUCCCGGU
This 166-nucleotide ribosomal RNA is filed under the name uncultured bacterium. RNAcentral's name for it is "partial 16S ribosomal RNA". It matches the Rfam family "Bacterial small subunit ribosomal RNA", at positions 509 to 674 of the family's 1533-position model. The record is from RNAcentral.